UACGGGGGGGGGCAAGCGUUGUUCGGAAUUACUGGGCGUAAAGGGCGCGUAGGCGGUCUUUUAAGUCUUGUGUGAAAUCCCUCGGCUCAACUGAGGAACUGCACGGGAUACUGGAAGACUUGAGUUCGGGAGAGGGAAGCGGAAUUCCGGGUGUAGCGGUGAAAUGCGUAGAUAUCAGGAGGAACACCUGUGGCGAAAGCGGCUCACUGGACCAUAACUGACGCUGAUGCACGAAAGCUAGGGGAGCAAACAGG
RNAcentral lists this ribosomal RNA (254 nucleotides) under uncultured bacterium. RNAcentral describes it as "partial 16S ribosomal RNA". It matches the Rfam family "Bacterial small subunit ribosomal RNA", at positions 524 to 776 of the family's 1533-position model. The record is from RNAcentral.